Molecule: non-coding RNA, 24 nt
Filed under: Arabidopsis thaliana (thale cress)
Lineage: Eukaryota; Viridiplantae; Streptophyta; Magnoliopsida; Brassicales; Brassicaceae
Source: RNAcentral
GCUCACUCUCUUUUUGUCAUAACU